This 82-nucleotide transfer RNA is filed under the name Smittium simulii. It matches the Rfam family "tRNA". From Rfam's summary of the family: Transfer RNA (tRNA) molecules are approximately 80 nucleotides in length. The record is from Rfam by way of RNAcentral. Lineage: Eukaryota; Fungi; Kickxellomycota; Harpellomycetes; Harpellales; Legeriomycetaceae.
GUCGGAUUGUCCGAGUGGUUAAGGAGACAGAUUAGAAAUCUGUUGGGCUCUGCCCGCACAGGUUCAAAUCCUGUAGCCGACG